Cinara cedri is the source of this 271-nucleotide non-coding RNA. Lineage: Eukaryota; Metazoa; Arthropoda; Insecta; Hemiptera; Aphididae. The record is from the annotation of a GenBank genome assembly.
CUUAACUAUACAAUUGGUACAUAUAUUAUUUUGAGUUCUUAUGUCAACAAUAGCGUGUACACUAGUUGUACAAAAAAGCCGAUAAUAUAUAAAUAUCAGAAAUGGCAUUACAGAAAUUAAAACUCGAUCAAUAAACCGUCAUAAUCGGUACUUAUUCGAAAUAACCAGCGACACUGUUACGUGUAUCUGUAUAUACAUUUACAACAUGUUUGAUUUUGAACUAAAAUAGUUAACUGUAGAUAACUAUCCGUUAUCAAGACAUUUAAAAAAG